Non-coding RNA from Triticum aestivum (bread wheat), 114 nucleotides. The record is from Rfam. NCBI's taxonomy places the organism in Eukaryota, Viridiplantae, Streptophyta, Magnoliopsida, Poales, Poaceae.
CUUGUACCCCCUUGUCCGAAAAUACUUGUCAUCGAAAUGGAUGUAUCUAGAUGUAUUUUAGUUCUAGAGACAUCCAUUUUGAUGACAAGUAAUUCCGUACGGAGGGAGUACUUG